Molecule: small nucleolar RNA, 65 nt
Organism: Asterias rubens (European starfish)
Lineage: Eukaryota; Metazoa; Echinodermata; Asteroidea; Forcipulatida; Asteriidae
Product: small nucleolar RNA SNORD83
Exons: 1
Source: RefSeq, a predicted model, not a curated record
GCCAGAUGAUGUAAAGAUUGGAUGAUUUCAUGAUUACACCUAUCCACUACCCAUUACUGAUGGCU